CGUAAACAACCUGCCUUCAGGAUGGGGACAACAGACGGAAAUGACUGCUAAUACCGAAUAAGUUCCAAGAGCCGCAUGGCCCAUGGAAGAAAAGGUGGCCUCUACCUGUAAGCUAUCGCCUGAAGAGGGGUUUGCGUCUGAUUAGCUGGUUGGAGGGGUAACGGCCCACCAAGGCGACGAUCAGUAGCCGGUCUGAGAGGAUGAACGGCCACACUGGAACUGAGACACGGUCCAG
This 235-nucleotide ribosomal RNA is filed under the name uncultured bacterium. RNAcentral describes it as "partial 16S ribosomal RNA". It matches the Rfam family "Bacterial small subunit ribosomal RNA", at positions 116 to 334 of the family's 1533-position model. The record is from RNAcentral.